AUAAGAAGGUGGCACUGUCUCUAUAACUGUCAUUUUACCUCAACUAAAUAAUCUCCUAUGACCAUUUACUAUCCUGCUUGUUUAGUUAAGAGAAACACAAUACCUGAUUACUGAUGUGGCUUCUAACAAAGGGUGAAAAGAGAGUUAAAGGCCUUUAUUUGAUUGAAAGUUUCCCUCUAUAGGUGCCCGAGUAAAAGGUCAUCCGCAUUUUAUUUCCAAUUUACUUAACGGUUAACACUUAGCUCCUAUUAUCUAAAGGAGAGUGAAUAUUGCUUCAAUCAACUACACGUGUCAAAUAGGCCACAGCGUCACCUGGUGAAUCCAACUGGUAUUGUACUUCAUUGAGUGAGUCUUAACCUAACACGGAGAGAACUGCAUUUACGUAAGGGCUACCUAAUUUAAUUGUCAUUAUUUGUCUGUUGUUCUGAUACCUUGACAACCGUCUGUAAGUGGUGACGUGACUCCUUUUAAAAUGACUUUUCUCAUCUUUCUAAUCUUUUUACUCACAAUUUAGCUAACAAAACUGCCCACAUUAGCUGUCAUCAUCACAUUUUACAUUAUAAUUUUCCAAAACAAUUUUCACCACCCUUAAGAUCCAAACAAGCCCAUUUCUCCCGUACACAGUCCAGUAAACAUGAAAUGAGAGUGCAGAUGUUCCUUCCUCUGGGAGCUGCUAGGCAACAACAGAUUCUCUCAGCCAGAACCGCUAUCUGACCACCAUCGCUCUGUUUGAACUGGAAUACAAACAACCCAAACAGAGGGGAAAAAAGAACAAGUGAUAGACAGGAUAAAUAAUGAUGCAACAGUACAACUUUGAGCAGGCAGACUUUUGAGCAUUGUUAGUGAAUGUUUCCUAAACAAGGAGGAACGAAACUUGACGUUUGCUAGCACUAGGGGGCAGUGGAGUAUCAUUUUGUAAAGACAGUGACAGGAGAGAAAAGUUUCUACAGGUACUGUAGGUCUGUCCUUGGGUUUUAAUUUUUUUAAUUUUUAAUUUAACCUUUAUUUAACUAGGCAAGUCAGUUAAAAACAAAUUCGUAUUUACAAUGAUGGCCUACCAGAAGGUAAAAGGCCUCCUGCGGAGACGGGGGCUGGGAUUAAAAAUAAAAAAUAAAAUAACAAUAUAGGACAAAAUGUAUGCGUCUUAGUAUCUACAGUUCAUCAUGCAUGGAAAAUAACCUUGGCUUAUAUGCUGGAGAGAGACUGUCGGCUGUUUUAAUCUUUGUUUACCUUUUAUUUUAUCAGGGAACUUGAUUGAGGAUGUAUUCACUUCUGCAACAUCGGGCUUAGGAAGAGUUGCAAGAAAGAGUGAUGUGUAUGAGCAGACCCGGCGCCAGAACGAAUCAGUUAUCAGUU
RNAcentral lists this long non-coding RNA (1356 nucleotides) under Salmo salar (Atlantic salmon). Its description in RNAcentral is "lncRNA (ENSSSAG00000099425.1)". The record is from RNAcentral. Lineage: Eukaryota; Metazoa; Chordata; Actinopteri; Salmoniformes; Salmonidae.